Molecule: ribosomal RNA, 377 nt
Filed under: uncultured bacterium
Lineage: Bacteria
Description: bacterial SSU rRNA
Rfam family: Bacterial small subunit ribosomal RNA
Source: RNAcentral
AUACGUAGGGGUCGAGCGUUGUCCGAAAUUACUGGGCGUAAAGGGUGCGUAGGCGGCCGAUCAAGUCAGAUGUGAAAUACCACGGCUCAACUGUGGGGGUGCAUAUGAAACUGGUUGGCUUGAGUGCAGGAGAGGAAAGUGGAAUUCCUAGUGUAGCGGUGAAAUGCGUAGAGAUUAGGAGGAACACCAGUGGCGAAGGCGACUUUCUGGACUGUAACUGACGCUGAGGCACGAAAGCGUGGGGAGCGAACAGGAUUAGAUACCCUGGUAGUCCACGCCGUAAACGAUGGAUACUAGGUGUAGAGGGUAUCGACCCCCUCUGUGCCGGAGUUAACGCAAUAAGUAUCCCGCCUGGGGAGUACGGCCGCAAGGUUGAA